UGGGGAAUUUUGCACAAUGGGGGAAACCCUGAUGCAGCGACGCCGCGUGAUUUAGAAGGCCUUCGGGUUGUAAAAAUCUUUUGUAUGGGAAGAAAAUGACAGUACCAUACGAAUAAGGACCGGCUAAUUACGUGCCAGCAGCCGCGGUAAUACGUAAGGUCCGAGCGUUGUCCGGAAUCAUUGGGCGUAAAGGGUACGUAGGCGGAUAAGCAAGUUAGAAGUGAAGUCCUAUAGCUCAACUAUAGUAAGCUUUUAAAACUGCUCAUCUUGAGGUAUGGAAGGGAAAGUGGAAUUCCUAGUGUAGCGGUGAAAUGCGCAGAUAUUAGGAGGAAUACCGGUGGCGAAGGCGACUUUCUGGCCAUAUACUGACGCUGAGGUACGAAAGCGUGGGUAGCAAACAGG
This 402-nucleotide ribosomal RNA is filed under the name Verrucomicrobiota bacterium. Its description in RNAcentral is "Verrucomicrobia bacterium partial 16S ribosomal RNA". It matches the Rfam family "Bacterial small subunit ribosomal RNA", at positions 355 to 776 of the family's 1533-position model. Lineage: Bacteria; Pseudomonadati; Verrucomicrobiota. The record is from RNAcentral.